AGCGGCGGACGGGUGAGUAAUGCAUAGGAAACUGCCCAGUAGUGGGGGAUAGCCCGGGGAAACCCGGAUUAAUACCGCAUACGCCCUUUGGGGGAAAGCAGGGGAUCUUCGGACCUUGCGCUAUUGGAUGUGCCUAUGUCGGAUUAGCUAGUUGGUGGGGUAAGAGCCUACCAAGGCGACGAUCCGUAGCUGGUCUGAGAGGAUGAUCAGCCACAUCGGGACUGAGACACGGCCCGAACUCCUACGGGAGGCAGCAGUGGGGAAUAUUGGACAAUGGGGGCAACCCUGAUCCAGCCAUGCCGCGUGUGUGAAGAAGGCUUUCGGGUUGUAAAGCACUUUCAGUGAGGAGGAAAACCUGACGACUAAUACUCGUGAGGCUUGACGUUACUCACAGAAGAAGCACCGGCUAACUCCGUGCCAGCAGCCGCGGUAAUACGGAGGGUGCAAGCGUUAAUCGGAAUUACUGGGCGUAAAGCGCGCGUAGGUGGUUUGAUAAGCGAGAUGUGAAAGCCCCGGGCUCAACCUGGGAACGGCAUUUCGAACUGUCACGCUAGAGUAUGGUAGAGGAGUGUGGAAUUUCCUGUGUAGCGGUGAAAUGCGUAGAUAUAGGAGGACACCAGUGGCGAAGCGGCACUCUGGAACAUACUGACACUGAGGUGCGAAGCGUUGGGAGCAACAGGGAAUAGAUACCCCUGUAGCCCACGCCGA
This 708-nucleotide ribosomal RNA is filed under the name uncultured bacterium. RNAcentral's name for it is "bacterial SSU rRNA". It matches the Rfam family "Bacterial small subunit ribosomal RNA", at positions 94 to 803 of the family's 1533-position model. The record is from RNAcentral.